RNAcentral lists this ribosomal RNA (253 nucleotides) under uncultured bacterium. RNAcentral describes it as "partial 16S ribosomal RNA". It matches the Rfam family "Bacterial small subunit ribosomal RNA", at positions 524 to 776 of the family's 1533-position model. The record is from RNAcentral.
UACAGAGGGUGCAAGCGUUGUUCGGAAUUAUUGGGCGUAAAGGGAGUGUAGGCGGUUGGGAAAGUCUUCUGUGAAAUCUACGGGCUCAGCCUGUAACGUGCAGAGGAAACUACUCGGCUUGAGUGUCGGAGAGGAUAGGGGAAUACCCGGUGUAGAGGUGAAAUUCGUAGAGAUCGGGUGGAACACCAGUGGCGAAGGCGCCUGUCUGGCUGACAACUGACGCUGAGGCACGAAAGCGUGGGGAGCAAACAGG